UCGUAGUAGCCGGUGAUAUCGUCGUCCAACCCCCAGAUCUGUCCGAACACGACCCCCUCCACCGCGACUCCUUCCGCGGCGGGGUCGUCAGCCGCAGGAGCCUCACCACCAUCGUCCGACGAGGACUGCACCGGCGGAGGCAGUCCGAGCUCGUCAUCGGAGGCUUCGAGGAGGAAUCCCAGAUCCGGCUGGUCGGUCUUCACCAAUGCCCGGGUGGGCGGCGGCGGCGGCGGGGAGGAGAGAGCGAUCUCCUCCUCGAGGCUCUUCAUGACGGAGGCGAUGUCCUGGUCUCCGGCUUCAGCGUCAUCGUCGAGGAUGUCGAGGAAGAGAUCGUCUCGGAGGCGCUUGGCCUCCGGCGACUCCUGCUCUUCCGCCUCGUCGCGGCGCCUCUUGCGGU
This 397-nucleotide long non-coding RNA is filed under the name Musa acuminata (dwarf banana). RNAcentral's name for it is "long non-coding RNA (MACU_LNC009370)". The record is from RNAcentral. Lineage: Eukaryota; Viridiplantae; Streptophyta; Magnoliopsida; Zingiberales; Musaceae.